Molecule: ribosomal RNA, 495 nt
Filed under: uncultured bacterium
Lineage: Bacteria
Description: partial 16S ribosomal RNA
Rfam family: Bacterial small subunit ribosomal RNA
Source: RNAcentral
AUGAACGCUGGCGGCGUGCCUAAUACAUGCAAGUCGAGCGAACAGACGAGGAGCUUGCUCCUCUGACGUUAGCGGCGGACGGGUGAGUAACACGUGGAUAACCUACCUAUAAGACUGGGAUAACUUCGGGAAACCGGAGCUAAUACCGGAUAAUAUAUUGAACCGCAUGGUUCAAUAGUGAAAGACGGUUUUGCUGUCACUUAUAGAUGGAUCCGCGCCGCAUUAGCUAGUUGGUAAGGUAACGGCUUACCAAGGCAACGAUGCGUAGCCGACCUGAGAGGGUGAUCGGCCACACUGGAACUGAGACACGGUCCAGACUCCUACGGGAGGCAGCAGUAGGGAAUCUUCCGCAAUGGGCGAAAGCUUGACGGAGCAACGCCGCGUGAGUGAUGAAGGUCUUCGGAUCGUAAAACUCUGUUAUUAGGGAAGAACAAAUGUGUAGUAACUAUGCACGUCUUGACGGUACCUAAUCAGAAAGCCACGGCUAACUACGUG